AUUUAUCCGGUCAAGAGAACUGCCUCGAAGCGAACACCUGGUCACAAUUUCCAGAAGGAUGAAUGGGGAAGUUUGGGAAAGCUUUAUGCAAAACUCAUCUGUCACUUUCCUCUUUGUUCCACUUGCAGCGUUUUUACUACUGCGGCUUCUACGCGGCGGCGCCACCGGCGGUUUCUCUGCUGCAGUCCAAGAAAGCCCAGGGAUGCUGAUGGGAGGUAGGAAGCGUGAGUGAGUGUGUGAGUGUAUGUGUGUGUCUGUGAUGGGGAGCGAGGGGGAGAGGGAGGGUGCAUGAGCAAUAGGCAGACUGAGAUCAAUAGUGGCUUUGCAUCCUACGGACAAUAGUGAGCUUUUCCGUAUAAUAGUCCACGGUACGUAUCCGGCGAAGGUUCCGUGACGUGCUACAAUCACAAGCUGCUGGGUUUAGACGUAAGAUGAGAGUAAGGGAGGGCUGAAAUUUGGCUCCCGGGGAGAAGUUUGAAAAGAAGCUGCUGGUUAAAGCUGCAACUUCACUAAAA
This is a long non-coding RNA of Astatotilapia calliptera (eastern happy), 515 nucleotides long. The record is from Ensembl. Lineage: Eukaryota; Metazoa; Chordata; Actinopteri; Cichliformes; Cichlidae.